This 434-nucleotide ribosomal RNA is filed under the name uncultured bacterium. Its description in RNAcentral is "partial 16S ribosomal RNA". It matches the Rfam family "Bacterial small subunit ribosomal RNA", at positions 29 to 507 of the family's 1533-position model. The record is from RNAcentral.
AGCGAACGCUGGCGGCAGGCCUAACACAUGCAAGUCGAACGAACCUUUCGGGGUUAGUGGCGGACGGGUGAGUAACACGUGGGAACGUGCCUUUAGGUUCGGAAUAACUCAGGGAAACUUGUGCUAAUACCGAAUGUGCCCUUCGGGGGAAAGAUUUAUCGCCUUUAGAGCGGCCCGCGUCUGAUUAGCUAGUUGGUUGAGGUAAUGGCUCACGAAGGCGACGAUCAGUAGCUGGUCUGAGAGGAUGAUCAGCCACAUUGGGACUGAGACACGGCCCAAACUCCUACGGGAGGCAGCAGUGGGGAAUCUUGCGCAAUGGGCGAAAGCCUGACGCAGACAUGCCGCGUGAAUGAUGAAGGUCUUAGGAUUGUAAAAUUCUUUCACCGGGGACGAUAAUGACGGUACCCGGAGAAGAAGCCCCGGCUAACUUCGUG